Long non-coding RNA from Pogoniulus pusillus (Red-fronted tinkerbird), 1001 nucleotides. RefSeq lists it as uncharacterized. NCBI's taxonomy places the organism in Eukaryota, Metazoa, Chordata, Aves, Piciformes, Lybiidae. The record is from RefSeq and is a predicted model, not a curated record. The transcript is spliced from 2 exons.
CUGAAAAAGGCUCAGACUGACAGGUCUUCCUUUCUGCCCUUCUUGUAGAUAGGCCUUACAUUUGCUACUCUGCAGUCCACUGGCACCUCCCCAGUUAGCCAGGACUUCUGCAUCUUCGAUGGUUGGUGUGAUCUGAAAAGGAAGGACAGACAGAAGCAUGUGAUAGUAGAGUGUGUCCUGCAAGAGCAAAACAGAAUUUCAUUAAGAGGACCUGCUAAACAGAACCUUCAGGAGCAAUCAAGAAGAAAUGCAUCAUCUGGAAACCUCUGGAACAGGAACGUCUUUUGGUUCAGCUACAGCAGAAGUACAAUAUACUCCACUAGCUGCACUCACGGGCCAGCUGCAGGCUGGUCUAGAGAACCAAAGCCAUGAUGUGGUGUCCUUGGAUGUGCAUGUGUGCCUGAUUCGUUCAAGUCUACAUCUCCACCGUACCUUGUAUGGCUUCCCACUGACGAGCGCAGACAGAGCCGACCGCGGUACCUUGCCGGAGCGUGUCUUCGGGAGCUGUUUCACAAACAUCCCCUUCUGGAAGGCUGCCACCGGACCAAUAUUAGCUCGAACUUGCUCAACAAUCUCUUCAAAAAUCUUCUUCUCAUCUGUUUUUAUACCUAGUGAAGAAGUUAAUGUCCUUUACUGCCAGUGUUGCACCCCAGAGUAACAGACUGUGGCACCAAUAUGGUUAGAUCAUUUUUCUCCUCCUUAUUGCAGUGAUACAGCAACCUACAUGCUAACUUAGGGGAGCUGUGCAGAGCUAGCUUAGUCAAGAUUGGUACAUGUGGAAGCUACAGGUAGGCUUAAGGCUAUGUGUGAGGUGCAGAUAGGUUGAGCUUAUAUAAACAACCUGUAGGGUCAGCCCCCUGUGGCCAGCAGACCCUGCCUCCUGCAGCUGGACGUGGGGGUUUGCUUCACCGCCUCAGUUCCUGCCUGCGGGAUGGGCUCAAGGGCACUCUGCAGCACAGCUUGCUCAUGGUUAUCAAUUCAUGUCCCCUGUUAGCAAGAAA